RNA transcript from Triticum urartu, 2566 nucleotides. It is a transcript of the gene named Pentatricopeptide repeat (PPR) superfamily protein, with no coding region annotated. The record is from RefSeq and is a predicted model, not a curated record. Lineage: Eukaryota; Viridiplantae; Streptophyta; Magnoliopsida; Poales; Poaceae.
CGUUGAAAGGUUUGUAGGCGGAAAUAGCUGAAGCAAAAACCGGCCCCGCCGCCUCCCUUUGUAGAGACCUCUGCCGCCGACGCCAAGCGGCUAGCCGGCAAACCUGCUUCUCAUCCCUCCAUCCCCCAAUGCCGCCGGCGAACCUCACCCCGACCAAAUGGCCCAAGAACCUCACCGCCGAACACCUCCACCGCCUUGUCCGCGCCGAGCGUGACCCCCGCCGCGCGCUCGCCCUCUUCGACGCGGCCACCGCCGCGCCCGUCUCCACUUCCGCGCCCACACAAAUCCUCCCCUCCCCGGACACCGUCUCCCUCCUCACCUCCCGCCUCGCCUCCGCCGGCCUCCUCCCCCUCGCCACCUCCCUCCUCUCCCGCUCGCGCGCGCUCUUCCCCUCCAACGCCGACCUCGAGCCCCCCUUCCUCACCCUUCUCCGCGCCUUCUCCCGCACCCGCCGCCCCCUCGACGCCCUCCAACUCUUCCGCUCCGCCCCCUCCGCCCUCUCUCUCCCCCACUCCGCCCGCUCCUACACCGCCGUCCUUGCCGGCCUCGUCGCGCACUCCCAUCUCCCCCUCGCCCACUCCCUCCUCGCCGACAUGCGCGCCGCCGGCUUCGGCCCCACCAUCGCCACCUACAACGUCCUCCUCAAGGCCCACUGCUCUGAUGCCGACGCUCCUAUCGACGACGCGGUCCGCCUUUUCCGCAACAUCCCCAAACCUGACGCCUGCUCCUACAACACCCUCAUCGACGGGCUCUGCCGCCGCAGCCGCAGGGCCGAGGCCCAGGAGCUGUUUUCCGAGAUGGUAGAAAAUGGCGUUGCGCCUACAGUGGUUACUUACACGACUAUCAUCAAUUGGCUCGCACGGGAGGGCUGCUUGGAUGAUGCACUGGAGAUGUUUGACGAAAUGGGGAGGAGAGGUAUUGCACCUAAUGUUGUCACCUAUUGUUCUCUGAUUGAUGGUUUGUCCAAGGGUGGGCGUGCAGCAUCAGCACUGGACUUGCUGGAGAGGUUGGCCAAGGAGGUGAAGCCGCCAAAUACAAUCAUAUAUAGUUCUGUCAUUAAUGGCCUCUGUAAGGAGGGCCUGCUGAGGGAGGCAAUGGAGGUUUUGGACCGGAUGCGUCUCCAGGGGAGGAAGCCUGAUGCUGGAUUGUUUGGGAAGCUCAUUGUUGGGCUGUGUGAUGCAGGAAGGGCUGUGGAGGCUGCAAAUUACCUGGAUGAGAUGGUUCUUGCUGGCGUUCAACCGAACCGGGUGACUUGGAGCCUUCAUGUCAGGAUAAACGUUGCAGUGGUGACAGCAUUAUGUGUUAAGGGUGAAGUUGGGAGGGCUUUCCAGGUGUACCAGAGCAUGAGGACUCGUGGCAUUUCUACCGAGCCAAGCACCUUCCAUCUCCUGGUUGAGUUCUUCUGCAAAAAGAACCAUUUGGAGAAAGCAGCUCGUGUUGUGCUUGACAUGUUGUCAGAGAGGUGCAUCCCUGAGAGGGAAACAUGGGAUGUUAUUGUCAGUGGGUAUUGGAGUAAGAAGAAAGUCAGACAAGAAGCUGAGCAAAUAUGGGACCAAUUAGCAGUUAUCUGAUUGAAAAUAAAAACAAAUGUGGUGCUACACUGUGCUGGUCGGACCCUUCCCCGGACUCUGCACAAGUGGGAGCUACAUGCACCAGGCUGCCCCCCUGCUACACUGUGCUGGUACAUGUUCUGCCUAAGACUUAUCAAGCAAAAAUUGUGAACCGACACACUCGUUCCAUCAUGCGGUUGCACAAGUGAGAGAGAGUUCUGCCACCAAAACCCUUAAACUCCAGUGCUUCCAUGUCCAGGAUAUGCGAAGUACUAAUAUUUAUUGUAUGAAUAAUUUUUGAAGUGACAAGCAUGCGGGCAGUGUUCAGGUUAUUGCACGACGACUUAAAAGCUGUGUGGUAUGACUUCAAGAAUGCAGUCUGAUAUGAUUUUUAAAGUCUUCUUUUCUAGACAUGUUAAUUUUGGAAAAACUAGCAAAUUACAAUACAAAACUUAACUACAUAUAUGUAUGAAGAUUCAAGGCAAAAACAAGCUAUCAACUCCUGGUAUAUUGCUUCUUUCACAAUUAAUGAAGACUUUUUUCCGUGCCUGCCUAGUGUUUGAUUCCAUCCAUGUAUCGACUUUCCCUCCUAUGCUCUGAGUUCGAGUAUCAAUAAGAAUUCGAGUUCAUAUUGUUCCUAUGUUAUGGUAUGAAUAUACAUGAUGGAUGAGAUUCCGUGGAUAGAGAGCCAAUUCCAGUAGACUUAUGGAACGUUCCUGUUCACGUGCAUCCAGUAGGAAUUGAACCCUCAAAUUUACCAAUUAUGAGUUCGGCGCUUUAACCAUUCAACCAAAAGUCUUAGUUGUAUCAUAUGAAAGAUUUAAAAAAUUGUGGUAUGUGCCAAAGACGUAUCCAAUAUAUUGUCCUCCCAGGUGCCAGCACUGUUCAUUUAUGAAUACACAAAACAUGUUCAUGUCGAAGGCCACCAUAGGUACUCUUAUAAAUAUUAUUUUAGAGAAAUAGUGCUGUAUAUUUCUCUCUAUCCCGCUUAAGGGGUUUUCGACUCUGUGUUUGAU